GACGAACGCUGGCGGCGUGCUUAACACAUGCAAGUCGAGCGGUAAGGCCUCUUCGGGGGUACACGAGCGGCGAACGGGUGAGUAACACGUGGGUGACCUGCCCUCAGCUCUGGGAUAAGCCUGGGAAACUGGGUCUAAUACCUGAUAUGACCACAUGUUGCAUGGUGUGUGGUGGAAAGUUUUUUCGGCUGGGGAUGGGCCCGCGGCCUAUCAGCUUGUUGGUGGGGUGGUGGCCUACCAAGGCGACGACGGGUAGCCGGCCUGAGAGGGCGACCGGCCACACUGGGACUGAGACGCGGCACAGACUCCUACGGGAGGCAGAAGUGGGGAAUAUUGCGCAAUGGGCGGAAGCCUGACGCAGCGACGCCGCGUGGGGGAUGACGGCCUGCGGGUUGUAAACCUCUUUCGACCGGGACGAAGCGUAAGUGACGGUACCGGUAGAAGAAGCACCGGCCAACUACGUG
This 464-nucleotide ribosomal RNA is filed under the name uncultured bacterium. Its description in RNAcentral is "partial 16S ribosomal RNA". It matches the Rfam family "Bacterial small subunit ribosomal RNA", at positions 28 to 507 of the family's 1533-position model. The record is from RNAcentral.